Molecule: ribosomal RNA, 1346 nt
Filed under: uncultured bacterium
Lineage: Bacteria
Description: bacterial SSU rRNA
Rfam family: Bacterial small subunit ribosomal RNA
Source: RNAcentral
GACGAACGCUGGCGGCGUGCUUAACACAUGCAAGUCGAACGAUGAAGCCUAGCUUGCUAGGUGGAUUAGUGGCGAACGGGUGAGUAAUACGUGAGUGACCUACCUUUGACUCUGGGAUAAGCCUGGGAAACUGGGUCUAAUACCGGAUACGACCAAUCUCCGCAUGGGGUGUUGGUGGAAAGCGUUAUGGAGUGGUUUUAGAUGGGCUCACGGCCUAUCAGCUUGUUGGUGAGGUAAUGGCUUACCAAGGCGACGACGGGUAGCCGGCCUGAGAGGGUGACCGGCCACACUGGGACUGAGACACGGCCCAGACUCCUACGGGAGGCAGCAGUGGGGAAUAUUGCACAAUGGGCGCAAGCCUGAUGCAGCGACGCCGCGUGAGGGAUGACGGCCUUCGGGUUGUAAACCUCUGUUAGCAUCGAAGAAGCGAAAGUGACGGUAGGUGCAAAGAAAGCGCCGGCUAACUACGUGCCAGCAGCCGCGGUAAUACGUAAGGCGCGAGCGUUGUCCGGAAUUAUUGGGCGUAAAGAGCUUGUAAGCGGUUGGUCGCGUCUGCUGUGAAGGCUGGGGCUUAACCCUGGUUUUGCAGUGGGUACGGGCUAACUAGAGUGCAGUAGGGGAGACUGGAAUUCCUGGUGUAGCGGUGGAAUGCGCAGAUAUCAGGAGGAACACCGAUGGCGAAGGCAGGUCUCUGGGCUGUAACUGACGCUGAGAAGCGAAAGCAUGGGGAGCGAACAGGAUUAGAUACCCUGGUAGUCCAUGCCGUAAACGUUGGGCACUAGGUGUGGGGGACAUUCCACGUUUUCCGCGCCGUAGCUAACGCAUUAAGUGCCCCGCCUGGGGAGUACGGCCGCAAGGCUAAAACUCAAAGAAAUUGACGGGGGCCCGCACAAGCGGCGGAGCAUGCGGAUUAAUUCGAUGCAACGCGAAGAACCUUACCAAGGCUUGACAUAUACUGGACUGCGUCAGAGAUGGCGUUUCCCUUCGGGGCUGGUAUACAGGUGGUGCAUGGUUGUCGUCAGCUCGUGUCGUGAGAUGUUGGGUUAAGUCCCGCAACGAGCGCAACCCUCGUUCUAUGUUGCCAGCACGUGAUGGUGGGGACUCAUAGGAGACUGCCGGGGUCAACUCGGAGGAAGGUGGGGAUGACGUCAAAUCAUCAUGCCCCUUAUGUCUUGGGCUUCACGCAUGCUACAAUGGCCGGUACAGAGGGUUGCGAUACUGUGAGGUGGAGCUAAUCCCUAAAAGCCGGUCUCAGUUCGGAUUGGGGUCUGCAACUCGACCCCAUGAAGUCGGAGUCGCUAGUAAUCGCAGAUCAGCAACGCUGCGGUGAAUACGUUCCCGGGCCU